RNAcentral lists this ribosomal RNA (1338 nucleotides) under Vibrio tapetis. RNAcentral's name for it is "bacterial SSU rRNA". It matches the Rfam family "Bacterial small subunit ribosomal RNA", at positions 142 to 1466 of the family's 1533-position model. Lineage: Bacteria; Pseudomonadati; Pseudomonadota; Gammaproteobacteria; Vibrionales; Vibrionaceae. The record is from RNAcentral.
GAUAACCAUUGGAAACGAUUGCUACUACCGCAUACUGCCUUCGCGGCCAAAUUAUGGGGACCUUCGGGCCUCUCGCGUCAGGAUAUGCCUACGUUGGAUUAGCCUAAUUCGUGAGGUAAUGGCUCACCCAUCGCUGACGACUCCCUAUCGUGGUCUGAAGGAUUAUCAGCCACAUUUGAACUGAGCCAUGAUCAAAACCUCACUACGGGAGGCAGCAGUGGGGAAUAUUGCACAAUGGGCGCAAGCCUGAUGCAGCCAUGCCGCGUGUAUGAAGAAGGCCUUCGGGUUGUAAAGUACUUUCAGCAGUGAGGAAGGGGUGUACGUUAAUAGCGUGCAUCCUUGACGUUAGCUGCAGAAGAAGCACCGGCUAACUCCGUGCCAGCAGCCGCGGUAAUACGGAGGGUGCGAGCGUUAAUCGGAAUUACUGGGCGUAAAGCGCAUGCAGGUGGUUCGUUAAGUCAGAUGUGAAAGCCCGGGGCUCAACCUCGGAACUGCAUUUGAAACUGGCGGGCUAGAGUACUGUAGAGGGGGGUAGAAUUUCAGGUGUAGCGGUGAAAUGCGUAGAGAUCUGAAGGAAUACCAGUGGCGAAGGCGGCCCCCUGGACAGAUACUGACACUUAGAUGCGAAAGCGUGGGGAGCAAACAGGAUUAGAUACCCUGGUAGUCCACGCCGUAAACGAUGUCUACUUGGAGUUGUGGCCUUGAGCCGUGGCUUUCGGAGCUAACGCGUUAAGUAGACCGCCUGGGGAGUACGGUCGCAAGAUUAAAACUCAAAUGAAUUGACGGGGGCCCGCACAAGCGGUGGAGCAUGUGGUUUAAUUCGAUGCAACGCGAAGAACCUUACCUACUCUUGACAUCCAGAGAAGCCAGCGGAGACGCAGGUGUGCCUUCGGGAACUCUGAGACAGGUGCUGCAUGGCGUCGUCAGCUCGUGUUGUGAAAUGUUGGGUUAAGUCCCGCAACGAGCGCAACCCUUAUCCUUGUUUGCCAGCGAGUAAUGUCGGGAACUCCAGGGAGACUGCCGGUGAUAAACCGGAGGAAAGGUGGGGGACGACGUCAAGUCAUCAUGGCCCUUACGAGUAGGGCUACACACGUGCUACAAUGGCGCAUACAGAGGGCAGCCAACCAGCGAUGGUGAGCGAAUCCCAAAAAGUGCGUCGUAGUCCGGAUUGGAGUCUGCAACUCGACUCCAUGAAGUCGGAAUCGCUAGUAAUCGUGAAUCAGAAUGUCACGGUGAAUACGUUCCCGGGCCUUGUACACACCGCCCGUCACACCAUGGGAGUGGGCUGCAAAAGAAGUAGGUAGUUUAACCUUUCGGGGAGACGCUUACCACUUUGUG